GUAUUGUCCCAAAACGAUAAUUCCAAGAACCACUGCCUCAUGUCGAGUGAUGAUGCCGUGAAACCCGUACCCUUCACUCGCCGGCGCCCCACCAGAGAAGCUAGCAGCAGCUCCGAUUCCUCUCACCGCAAGCACACCAAAUUUCUCCAUCAUUUCAAGUUUUCUCAUUUUUGGAUCCUCCCAAUCUAUGCAAAGCUGCACCAGGGUUUGUACGCAGUGGAGCCCCUGAUGAGCAUAAUCACGGGUGAAUGAUGGGUUGGCAUGAACUACAAAUUACUAACAGUUUUAGAAUUAGAAUGUAAUGAAUGCGUUAAUUUUGGAAUGUGAUUU
Arachis ipaensis is the source of this 330-nucleotide non-coding RNA. The record is from RefSeq and is a predicted model, not a curated record. NCBI's taxonomy places the organism in Eukaryota, Viridiplantae, Streptophyta, Magnoliopsida, Fabales, Fabaceae.